RNAcentral lists this ribosomal RNA (499 nucleotides) under uncultured bacterium. Its description in RNAcentral is "partial 16S ribosomal RNA". It matches the Rfam family "Bacterial small subunit ribosomal RNA", at positions 28 to 507 of the family's 1533-position model. The record is from RNAcentral.
GACGAACGCUGGCGGCGUGCCUAAUACAUGCAAGUCGAGCGAAGUUUUUCUGGUGCUUGCCCUAGAAGAACUUAGCGGCGAACGGGUGAGUAACACGUAAAGAACCUGCCUCAUAGACUGGGACAACUAUUGGAAACGAUAGCUAAUACCGGAUAACAGUAUUUCUCGCAUGAGAGAUAUUUAAAAGUUGGUUAUGCUAACACUAUGAGAUGGCUUUGCGGUGCAUUAGCUAGUUGGUGGGGUAAAGGCCCACCAAGGCGACGAUGCAUAGCCGACCUGAGAGGGUGAUCGGCCACACUGGGACUGAGACACGGCCCAGACUCCUACGGGAGGCAGCAGUAGGGAAUCUUCCGCAAUGGGCGAAAGCCUGACGGAGCAACGCCGCGUGAGUGAAGAAGGAUUUCGGUUCGUAAAGCUCUGUUGUUAGGGAAGAAUGGAUAUGUAGUAACUAUACAUGUAAGAGACGGUACCUAACCAGAAAGCCACGGCUAACUACGUG